This 702-nucleotide long non-coding RNA is filed under the name Triticum aestivum (bread wheat). RNAcentral describes it as "long non-coding RNA (TAES_LNC015354)". The record is from RNAcentral. Lineage: Eukaryota; Viridiplantae; Streptophyta; Magnoliopsida; Poales; Poaceae.
UUUCAACCACACAUCUUUAGUUUAAAAUUAGACUACAAUAAUUGUUGGACAAUGCAAAAUAAAACUAACAUGACAUGGUUACCUCAAAUAGGAAACAAAUUUAUUUGCUCCUUUGUACUUGCACCAUCUGCAUUGACCUUAACAUCUGAAUUUUCAUGCUCUGGAUUAGUUCUUUGCCUAUGUUUUUCACUCACAUCAGCAAUACUUGAAGAUGUAAAAUACUUUGUCAAAGAACCCUUCAGUGGUUGAAUUUUUAGAUCUAUAAAUUUCUUUCUUUUCCUUUUUUUAGCACCCAACAAAUGCUUCCUAGGCAACAUGGCAUGCUAAUGUCCUAAUAUUACGAAGCAAAGAGUAGAUAACAAAUUAGAAAUUUAUAGAUCAGACGACCAGAACCCUAGACAUGUACACAGAAUGAUAGAAAAUUAGUAUGGUUGGAUACGUACUAUGAAAGAUUGAAUUAAAAAAAUUAUACAUAAAAAAAUUUGAUACUUCAUGGGAUGAAUGGAUCAGGAACAUCCGAACAUGGAUAUUGGAUAUGUACCUGCGUUCGCAUACAUACGUAUUGCCGUACUGUUGGAAGGCCGAGUUGCCGGACUGCUGCGUGCCGCGGCGGCCACGAGCGGCUGAGGCACCGAGCAAGGAACGACGGAGCGACGGGCUGAUCAGACGACGAAGACGAAGAGACGAGCGAUGAAUAGGGAA